Molecule: ribosomal RNA, 324 nt
Filed under: uncultured Filosa
Lineage: Eukaryota; Cercozoa
Description: SSU rRNA
Rfam family: Eukaryotic small subunit ribosomal RNA (bases 112-324)
Source: RNAcentral
GAUUUCUGGCGAACCGUUGCGGCCCGUGCCCGUUUCGGGCGUGUGUGCCGUGUCGUGUUUGUCAUCCUUCCAGAAAGCUGCGUCUACCAUUCACUUGGCCGGACGUACGCGAUCUGGAUCGAUUACUUUGAAAAAAUUAGAGUGUUUAAAGCAGGCUUAUGCUGUGAAUACAUUAGCAUGGAAUAAUAAUUUAGGACUUCGGUUCUAUUUUGUUGGUUUCUAGGACUGAAGUAAUGAUUGAUAGGGACAGUUGGGGGUGCUAGUAUUCCGCGGCCAGAGGUGAAAUUCUUGGAUUCGCGGAAGACUAACUACUGCGAAAGCAUU